UUGACCUCGGAUCAGGUAGGGAUACCCGCUGAACUUAAGCAUAUCAAUAAGCGGAGGAAAAGAAACCAACAGGGAUUGCCUCAGUAACGGCGAGUGAAGCGGCAACAGCUCAAAUUUGAAAUCUGGCUCUUUCAGGGUCCGAGUUGUAAUUUGUAGAAGAUGCUUUGGGUGUGGCUCCGGUCUAAGUUCCUUGGAACAGGACGUCAUAGAGGGUGAGAAUCCCGUAUGUGACUGGCUGCCUUCGCCUAUGUAAAGCUCUUUCGACGAGUCGAGUUGUUUGGGAAUGCAGCUCAAAAUGGGUGGUAAAUUUCAUCUAAAGCUAAAUAUUGGCCAGAGACCGAUAGCGCACAAGUAGAGUGAUCGAAAGAUGAAAAGCACUUUGGAAAGAGAGUUAAACAGUACGUGAAAUUGUUGAAAGGGAAGCGCUUGCAACCAGACUUGCACGCGGUUAAUCAUCUGGUGUUCUCACCGGUGCACUUGACCGUGUUCAGGCCAGCAUCGGUUCAGGUGGCGGGAUAAAGGCCUUGGGAAUGUAGCUUCUUUCGGGGAGUGUUAUAGCCCUCGGUGCAAUGCCGCCUACCUGGACCGAGGACCGCGCUCGGCUAGGA
Molecule: ribosomal RNA, 608 nt
Filed under: uncultured fungus
Lineage: Eukaryota; Fungi
Description: eukaryotic LSU rRNA
Rfam family: Eukaryotic large subunit ribosomal RNA
Source: RNAcentral